Molecule: ribosomal RNA, 696 nt
Filed under: Triticum aestivum (bread wheat)
Lineage: Eukaryota; Viridiplantae; Streptophyta; Magnoliopsida; Poales; Poaceae
Description: partial small subunit ribosomal RNA
Source: RNAcentral
AUGGAGCGUUCUGCCCACACCGACCCCUCGCGGCGCCCGAGGUCCGGCCACUCGGUUGUGGUCGAGACGCAGGAGAUGGAGCACCAGACUUUCCUCCUGCUUCGCCAUGCCGUCCUGCUCGUCUGCACGGAGGAGCGCCACGCGGCGAGCCCCAUGUCGGUGGGGCGCGCUUUCGACACCCAGACGUGCAUGCCGGCGCACCUGCUGCGGGUCACGAGCCAUGACCCGGAGGACUUCCUCGUCCAUUUCGAGCUGCCGGCGCACCGUGACAACGUUGUCCACCUCGGCUCCAUCAACAUUGACGGCGUCUGCUUCAACAUCAAGCCCUGGCAUGAAGACGACCACGGCGUCCACCAAGACUUCAUGCUCCACGUCCGCGUCGUCAUCGAGAAGAUGCCUCUGCAGCUCUGGUCCAUCAAGGGGGCGGAGAAGGUGCUUGGCAAGAAGUGCAUCAUCGACCGUCUCGACUCCAGGACGCUUGAGCGCGGGCACACGAAGACAUCUGCGUGCUGGGUGUGGGUGUGGGAUGUCGCGCUCAUCCCCACCAAGCACACGCUCUGGAGGAUGGCACGGGGCGCCGGGCGCAUCGAGGCAAUGCAAGGCUUCUCGCCGCCGAGCAGGGAGGUCGCCUGUCGGUGUCAAAACCGGCGGAUCUCGGGUAGGGGGUCCCGAACUAUGCGUCUAGGCGGAUGGUAA